Non-coding RNA from Phascolarctos cinereus (koala), 5061 nucleotides. The record is from RefSeq and is a predicted model, not a curated record. NCBI's taxonomy places the organism in Eukaryota, Metazoa, Chordata, Mammalia, Diprotodontia, Phascolarctidae.
AAAGUUCAAAGUUAGACAGCUUAUAUUUUCAUGUUUGUUUGUUUGUUUUUAUUUAACCUAAGAGUUAGCAGGAGUCCUUCAACUUUUUCUUUUAUCCCAAAGGUAUGCUAAUUUAAAAGUAACCAGAUAUCCUUUGACUACAGACUCUUGAAUUACACUGGGGAUACCACUGGUGGUAGUAUUGCUAAAAGGGUUUUAAAUAUGAUGUACAUAUCUAUAAAUAUGACUAUAGAGCAACAAUAAUUUAGGUAACUUGGGUAAACUUCCCUUGCUUUGGCUUCAGUCUGAUUCUUGCCCUUAUUACCUAGAAAACAGCAUAAUUCAUUUACUUUGACCCGUGCCUGGCUAAAGUUAGACACCAUUUUAAAACAAUGAAUUAUGUGAAAAAUGGAGAGGGCUAAUAUCUGGCAAAUAUCAAAAUCCUAACAAAUGGGCUAAUAUUAGUGUUCAAUAUACAUUUCACAACACAAUCUCCCCACCCCUUGUUUUAAGCUUAGUUGGCCUUUUUCUACCCAAGGAUCAAUUUUUUUUCUGUGUCUACUGCAAGCUUAUUUAAUCUCUUGAGGGUCUUUUUGGUGAGGUUUAUUUAUAAGGAAUUGUCAUGAAACAGAAGUUCUGGUGCUCCCAAAUUGUAGGUUCCUGUCAAAGAAGGACUCUAUUGCAGAUGUUGUAGCCUUGGACUGAAUAUACUGGUUUGCAUCUGCUCUGAGGUGGGCCACAACUUCACUUGGGUCUAACUUAGUGACUACUGGUAAAUGGUGGUGAGAUUUGUCUGUGCUCCAAAGGGUCUCCCUUGGAACAAUCUGCAGCUACUGAGAUCUUUUAGUACAUUAGCAGGGUUUUCAGUUUGUUCUGAAGAGUUUUCUCGGUGCUCAGUUCAACACUGCUUCACUCAUUUCAUGCAGGGCUGAAAUAGUUUACAUUUAGAACCCGAGAGACUACUUUCCAAGACUCCAUAUAAUCAGAGAAAUUAGAAGUGGAAAAAACCCAAUACAUUAUCCAGGACAUGAUUUCUCCCUAUGGUUCAGCAAUUAGUGUCUUUUUUCCAAUCUCAUUUAAAAUGACCUUGCUGAUGCUAACUGAGCUUCCUUCAUUUACCUGGGGAGUCUAUUUUCCUGAUACUCACCCAACUAAGUAACAUCUGUCGAUUUCAUUAACCUAACCCCCAACUCACCUAUUUCAAGAUAUUCAGUUUGCCAAACACUAAAAAACUGAAAAAAAAGUAUCAGAUAUCAUCUCUUUUUUAUGUUCCCUUUCAGUAGCAAUUUACAUGAAUUUAUAAUGAUUAUGAACCCAUAUUUAACUUGAUUAAAUGAAAUAGAUCAUCAUGUAUAGUUGCAGGUAGAAAGGGAAAAAAAGGAGUAUUUUGAGUGCAUGAGUGUAUUUCUAGGCAAAUGGAUUGAAAAGUAAAUAUUCACGUUAUAGAGUAGGAAUGCCUAUUUUCUUUUAUUAUGCCACUGGGCCUCACAAGAAGAUAAUGGUAGUCUGAUUGUCAAUAGUAAGUAAUAGGUGAUGUGGUGGACAGAUUGCUGGGCCUGGAUUCAAAUGUAGCCAUAGACAUUUAAUAGCUGUAUGAAACUGGGCAAGUCAUUUAAGCCUUUGCUUCAGCUUCCUCAUCUGUAAACUUCAUAUAACCAUAACAUCUACUACCCAGGGCUGUUGUGAGGAUGAACUGAGAUAAUAUUUGUAAGGCUUUGUAAACUUUAAAGCAUUAUAUAAAUGCUUACUAUUGUUUAGCUUGAAUGUUGCUAAGUGUUUUUUAGUUACUCUAAUUUAGAAGUAUCAUUUGCCCUUACCUUAUUCCAAGUAAACACUUAGUCUGCUAUUCUAACAGGGUAAAUAUGAAAUGUUUUCUAGCAAAUCCACUGACUUCGCUCACAUAUAGUUUAAGCCCUUUUCUACCCCUCUCUUUCUUCUCAAUAAUAUGCCCCAAUUAGGAGUAUACUUAAAUUCUACUAAGGAUACCUUUUCACCCUCCAGCUUUCCUGCUCUAAUCACUGGUUUUCCCACUAAAGUCACUUGACUAAUGCUUCCAUUUUAUAGGUUUAAAAGCGUCACAGGUUGAAGUAAUAAAUUCUUUUAUUUUCCUGUAGCCAUGGUCCUUGUUCCAUUUUCCUUUUUUUCCAUUUUCCUACUGAUCAGAUAUUCUUUGCCUGAGCUUGCAGUGGGGAUUCACAAAUUCUCAAAGCCUUAUCCAGAGCAAACAAUUGCAUGACUAUAAACCUGGGACUUAUUGGGAUAUUAGCACUACUGAUUCCAAGCUUGAAGCUCUCUUUAAAUUCAUGAGGCUUACUGUCCUCAACGCCACUCAUCAACACCCCAAAGUUAGCAUUCCAUUUCCCGUUCUCUCAAUCAUUUAGAAUUCUCUUGACAACUGAAUUAAGAGUUGAUACAGUGCUAUGCUACUGGAGUCAGGUGACAAGAAUUUGUCAUAGUCACAAAGAGGUUAGUGUUUUAGGGUACACAGGCAACCAGUAUGGUGGAAAAUCAAAUGGCUCAUCCACUACAUGGUUCUUCCUGAUGCAAAUCUAGAUUACUGACUGAACUUGUGCACAGUCAUGGUGAAGAAUGUCUGGAAUGGCACCCUACUCCUCACACUGCUCAGACUGUGAUUUCACACUCCUGUUUUCGUCAUGCUGAUUCAUUCAGACAAUCCAACAGGUGUUUGCACUUAACCAGUCAUACCCAAACCAAAUUAGCAUGUGAACCAUCUGAAUUUCUGCCCACAUGAUUUAAGUUAGCCCUAACUCAGGGGUCCCCCACUGAAAGAGAUGAUGAAUAAAGUUCUUAAGUCAAUAGAAAUCUCAUGAACUAAAUAAGAGAAAUGGAGAUUUUUAAAUUGUUACAAGAAUAAGCCUCAUGAGGGCAAAGGGCAGGUGGGCAGACAGCCAUUAUAUCUUGACAAUUUUCCAUAGCCCUGGAAAGCUGACUAUCACACAAAAGUGCUUAUGGCAUACAUAUCACUUUGGAUUCUUAUACCACAAUAAUUUAUGAUCUGGAAGAACUAUAAAACACCCAGUAAAUGAAUAGUACUUGCCAGAAAGCUUAUAGUCCCCAUAUGAUAAAGAUGACUUAUCAGACAACUGAUUGAGUGUCUUUAGUCUUUUGAAAGCUAGGAAGAUAUAUUCUCUUUUAUUUUUUGCUCAAAAUGCCAAGAAUGGUUUAAAUUAAAUACAAAUAAGACUUCUUUUUCUCUUUGUGUAUUCCCCUAAAGUCUCUUCAUAAGUUUCUCCUGAGAAGUAAUGAGUAUUCCAAUGCUAGAUAAUGUGGUAACCCCACUUUGUUAGCCUUAAUGUCUUAGCUGGUAGAUACUGUUAGCAGUUAUGUUGCAUAAAAAAAGACCAAAUCAAGGAAACUACACAGAAAACGUUCCUACCCUUUUGGUGCUCUUUGCCUAGCAUAAGAAAAACUUUGCAAGGCACUAAGGUUUAAUUUCCCCUCUCCAAAUUAGGCUGCAUCAGGAAGAUGGUAUGAUUCAGGUGUAUCUCAUACCUCUUAACAAAAAACACACAGCAACCUUAUGAAAAAAAAAUGUCCCAAAGAUGAACCUGGAAGGUAUUUAUAGGCAUUGUGUACAAUUAUUCAGUAGUAGGAUUUUUGUGCCCUUUCACAGAUUUAUAAAAUGUCUUUCCUCUAAGUUCUCACAGAUUAGGUCAAGAGGCUUUGGCAGAUGAAAAAGAGACGCACACCACAAUGGCAUUACUACUGGGUAGCCUUGGCUUUUUAUAAACUUGUCAACAUAUUAACAAACCAGUGCAGCUAGAUUUUUCCUAAGACAUAAAGAAAUAAAGGUAUGAUUCAGAAAAUAUUUGGAUAUUAUGAGUUCUUCAUGGUUCAAUAAUUUUAGAAAAUAAAAUGACUGGGUUUGAGAAAUACUGACAUUGUUGAAGGGACAAAUCCAUUUAUAUAGUUUCUUUUAAAAUAAUUUUUAGUAUUUGGGUUAUGGAUCAGUUCAAAACUCAAUCUCUGAGUUUGUGGAGUCUAGUAAUUCACUCUAGGUUUUUUUUUUCUGUUUUACUUGAGUCUUUGAUUAAUCAGUAGAACAUAUGAACAAUAGAUGUGGGUAAAAAUUGCUGGUUCAUGAUACCUUUCUUCUAUUAAAGGAACAGGGAGUAGGAAGUAGAAUGGAAUGAGAGAGCUGCAAUCACCUCUUCUAUCCUCCCAACAGCAGGGAAAAAUAGUCCCUGAGGAAAGUGACUCCAUUUAUCAGCUGAGUUGGGUUAUAGAUGAUCUCCUGCUUAAAUAACACAGCUUCUACUUGGUCAAGCUGCAGGUGCUCCAGUUCCCCACUGACCAGCUAGGAGAAGACAUAGCAAAAGUCAUCAAGAUCUGUAAAUAUCCAUGCCAGAAAGAAGGGGUGGCAGAAGCAUAUGGAUGUUGAGAAUGCAGUGCUUCUGGUUAAAGGUCUUGGGAGAGCCAUGAGGUAGAGAUGUAAAAUGAACUCGGACAGCCAGCUACAUAGAAGAGAAAUCUCUGAGAAAUUAGAAAAACUAGAAUGAGGGAUAGAAGACUGAACCUUGAAAAAGCCCAUAGAGGGAAUACACUUGAGCCACAAAAAGGUCAAAUAUGUGGAAGAAUCAGAAGAGCAUAUUUUCACUCCUACAGUCUCCUCAGCUGAUUUUGUCAUCUCAAUUCCUUUAAUAAAUCUGGUUCAUUGUACAUUACUCCCCCUGCCAUAGUCUGUGAUCCAUCCAUUCAGGCUAGCCUUCUCUCUGUUCCCCACACAGAACAUUCCAUCUCCUAUCUGUGUGCCUUUCCUUGGCCAUCCCUCAUUCCUGGAAUGUGCUUCCUCCCUGUCUCUGUCUCGUGGAUCCCUUUAUUCCUUUGAGAUACAACUAAAGCAUCACCUUCAGUGUGAAGUCUUUCCUGCUUUCCCCUACACCCAAAUGUUAGUGACCUUCCUCCCAAACUACCUUGCGUCCAACUUCUUUAUAUGUCUUUAUAUUUAUUCAUUUUCUAUUUAUGCUACAUAUAUAUUUAUGUAUAUACUUUUGCCUUUCUGAUUAAAAUGUAAGCAAUUGUUACACUUUUGUCCAUGUAUCUCUAGAGCCUAGCACAUAG